GGGCCAGUAGCUCAGCAGGUUAGAGUACGUCCCUGAUAAGGACGGGGUCGGUGGUUCGAGUCCACCCUGGCCCACCA
RNAcentral lists this transfer RNA (77 nucleotides) under Deltaproteobacteria bacterium. RNAcentral's name for it is "tRNA-Ile". It matches the Rfam family "tRNA". Rfam says of the family: Transfer RNA (tRNA) molecules are approximately 80 nucleotides in length. Their secondary structure includes four short double-helical elements and three loops (D, anti-codon, and T loops). The record is from RNAcentral. Lineage: Bacteria; Pseudomonadati; Myxococcota; Myxococcia.